UACGUAGGGUGCUAGCGUUGCUCGGAAUUAUUGGGCGUAAAGCGCGUGUAGGUGGUUUUGCAAGUUGGAUGUGAAAGCCCUCGGCUCAACCGGGGAAGUGCAUUCAAAACUACAUGACUAGAGGACAGUAGAGGAAGGUGGAAUUCCUGGUGUAGAGGUGAAAUUCGUAGAUAUCAGGAGGAAUACCUGUGGCGAAGGCGGCCUUCUGGGCUGUUCCUGACACUGAGACGCGAAAGCGUGGGUAGCAAAC
Molecule: ribosomal RNA, 250 nt
Filed under: uncultured bacterium
Lineage: Bacteria
Description: partial 16S ribosomal RNA
Rfam family: Bacterial small subunit ribosomal RNA
Source: RNAcentral